This is a long non-coding RNA of Amphimedon queenslandica, 337 nucleotides long. RefSeq lists it as uncharacterized. NCBI's taxonomy places the organism in Eukaryota, Metazoa, Porifera, Demospongiae, Haplosclerida, Niphatidae. The transcript is spliced from 2 exons. The record is from RefSeq and is a predicted model, not a curated record.
AAAGCACUUGGGCACUUAGAGAGCACUCGGCGCCAUUACUGCCGCCCACGCGGGGUGACCGCGUAGGCGUGUAAAACAAAAUGGCGACCAACUGUACACCACAUGGACUACCAAGAACAAGAGAUAUUAGCAGGAAAGAAGGCAAGGGGCUAGAUAUAACUAAAAGACAUGAAAAGAUGAGUAAAGCUAACCUAUGGGACUCUUUUUGGCCACAAAUACAAUUGGAAAUAAAGAGAAGAACGAUAUAAACUAUAAACAGCCUAGGAUUUGUAUAUGUACCAUGAAAAAACAAUAAUUUUAUACUAUGGAACUUAUUAUACUUAAACAUGAGGAAAAA